Diabrotica virgifera virgifera (western corn rootworm) is the source of this 1090-nucleotide long non-coding RNA. RefSeq lists it as uncharacterized. The record is from RefSeq and is a predicted model, not a curated record. The transcript has 2 exons. Lineage: Eukaryota; Metazoa; Arthropoda; Insecta; Coleoptera; Chrysomelidae.
AAAAGAAAAUUGUUCUAUUUUUUCAUUUAUUUGGCGUGAAUUCAGUGUCACCAACCUGUGUCCAUUUGGCGGGAAGUGGAAGUAGAGCUGUAGAGCUUUUUGUUUAUUAUUUGUUGAGGUUGAGUCUUUCAUGUUCAUGACAACCUAAAAAUUUUGAUUGGAAAAUGCAUAUAAGAUAAGGGGGUGGGAAAAUGGAAAUUAGUGGCUUUUUUGCAGUUCUGUCUGUUAGUUUUGCUCUGGCUGGGUCUCUUUUGUUUAAACAAUUAUAAUCAGCUGAAAGUGGUCUACAAAAAAACCAGGAAGGAAACGUAUUAUAGCCUUGUUGUGGCUAUGAAAGGCAAAAGAAAGAUACCUAUAAAAAGUGUAUUGACUAGUUGGAAGAAACUCCACAUUGUCGAUGCAUAAUAAGAUAUUACUUUAUAAACAAAUAUCAAGACCUAGGAAUGGAACCUGGAUAAUAUAGUCAUCAAGAAGAUAGCAGGAGGUCAUGAGCAACAACAACUUCAUAAGUAUGAGAAUAUUGAGGAAAUCCAGCUCCUCGAUAUCUACUACUGGACAAACUAGAAGAUUGAAGAGGACAAAGCCUUUUGAACUAGUUUGAGUGAUAGGUGAUAGUGAAAAGCAGAGCGUAGUGCUUGUGUGCCUGUGUAUGUUAGAAUAGUGCACGAUCUUGUUAGAUUAGAUAAGAGACGCUAUAGGGUAAGCUCUUCAUUUUAAGGAACAGUAGUAAUUUAGGUUAAAUUAAAAUUGCUCAUUGGUCAGUUAUGACCAGAUUGUAAUUCUCUGAUGUUUGGCAAAAAGGGCUGAAGUCAGAAUUGCACAUCAAUAAUGUUUUGAUGAUUUCUGGACCAUAAAAAAAGUGUUGCAGACUUAAACUGUAUGUACCAAUAAAAAGAGCCGAUUUUUCUGGUCCAGAAAUCAUCAAAACAUUAUCGAUGUGCAAUUCUGACUUAAGCCCUUUUUCCCAAACAUCAGAGAAUUGCAAUGUACAAUUCAAUACAAAUGAAUCAUCAUCGUAGUGAUGAUUAUGGAAAAAAAUAUAUAUAUAUAGAAAUAUAUAUAUUUUGUGCAAUAAAAAUGUUUAUAUUUA